CCUACGGGUGGCAGCAGUGGGGAAUAUUGCACAAUGGGGGAAACCCUGAUGCAGCGACGCCGCGUGAGUGAAGAAGUAAUUCGUUAUGGAAAGCUCUAUCAGCAGGGAAGAAAAUGACGGUACCUGAGUCAGAAGCCCCUGCUAACUACGUGCCAGCAGCCGCGGUAAUACGUAGGGGGCAAGCGUUAUCCGGAUUUAAUGGGGGUAAAGGGAGCGUAGACGGCCGUGCAAGUCUGGAGUGAAAGGCGGGGGCUCAACCCCCGGACUGCUCUGGAAACUGUACGGCUGGAGUGCAGGAGAGGUAAGUGGAAUUCCUAGUGUAGCGGUGAAAUGCGUAGAUAUUAGGAGGAACACCAGUGGCGAAGGCGGCUUACUGGACUGUAACUGACGUUGAGGCUCGAAAGCGUGGGGAGCAAACAGGAUUAGAUACCCUUGUAGUC
This 440-nucleotide ribosomal RNA is filed under the name uncultured bacterium. Its description in RNAcentral is "partial 16S ribosomal RNA". It matches the Rfam family "Bacterial small subunit ribosomal RNA", at positions 338 to 795 of the family's 1533-position model. The record is from RNAcentral.